CUACGUGCCAGCAGCCGCGGUAAUACGUAGGGCGCGAGCGUUGUCCGGAAUUAUUGGGCGUAAAGAGCUUGUAGGCGGUUUGUCGCGUCUGCUGUGAAAGGCCGGGGCUUAACUCCGUGUAUUGCAGUGGGUACGGGCAGACUAGAGUGCAGUAGGGGAGACUGGAACUCCUGGUGUAGCGGUGGAAUGCGCAGAUAUCAGGAGGAACACCGAUGGCGAAGGCAGGUCUYUGGGCUGUAACUGACGCUGAGAAGCGAAAGCAUGGGGAGCGAACAGGAUUAGAUACCCUGGUAGUCCAUGCCGUAAACGUUGGGCACUAGGUGUGGGGGACAUUCCACGUUUUCCGCGCCGUAGCUAACGCAUUAAGUGCCCCGCCUGGGGAGUACGGCCGCAAGGCUAAAACUCAAAGAAAUUGACGGGGGCCCGCACAAGCGGCGGAGCAUGCGGAUUAAUUCGAUGCAACGCGAAGAACCUUACCAAGGCUU
RNAcentral lists this ribosomal RNA (485 nucleotides) under uncultured bacterium. Its description in RNAcentral is "bacterial SSU rRNA". It matches the Rfam family "Bacterial small subunit ribosomal RNA", at positions 501 to 982 of the family's 1533-position model. The record is from RNAcentral.